UCCUUGAUAGCUCAGUUGGUAAAGUAUCUGCCUGCAAAGCAGCAGACCCUGGUUUGAUUCCUGGGUCAGGAA
This 72-nucleotide transfer RNA is filed under the name Ovis aries (sheep). It matches the Rfam family "tRNA". From Rfam's summary of the family: Transfer RNA (tRNA) molecules are approximately 80 nucleotides in length. Lineage: Eukaryota; Metazoa; Chordata; Mammalia; Artiodactyla; Bovidae. The record is from Rfam by way of RNAcentral.